GUGCUCACUUCAGUAUCACAUGUACUAAAACUGGAACCAUACAGAGAAGAUUCGCUUGGCCCUUGUGCAAACAUGACACCCAAAUUUGGGAAGUGUUCCAUAUUUAA
Ictidomys tridecemlineatus (thirteen-lined ground squirrel) is the source of this 107-nucleotide small nuclear RNA. Lineage: Eukaryota; Metazoa; Chordata; Mammalia; Rodentia; Sciuridae. The record is from Ensembl.